Molecule: long non-coding RNA, 523 nt
Organism: Salmo salar (Atlantic salmon)
Lineage: Eukaryota; Metazoa; Chordata; Actinopteri; Salmoniformes; Salmonidae
Source: RefSeq, a predicted model, not a curated record
UGUUCUUAACUGACUUGCCUAGUUAAAUAAAGGUAAAAUAAAAUAAAUAAAAAAUCCUAUUAGCGCUCUGAGAUACAUUGGAAUAGAAAUGGUCAAGAUGUCAUGCAACGGAGAGGACAUUGAGAGGAAACUACUAAGGGAAUCUUUCUGGAUCCACAGGCUCAACACACUGUCUCCUCUUGGCCUUAAUGAGGAGUUUGACUUUAAACUUUCUUUAGCUCUAAAAAUGUACAAACUACUGUUUUUACCUUAAUUGAAUAGUGAAGUGAUGUCACUGAGCACUGUUCCUAUAUAUAGGACCUCCCACCCCCACCUGGGAUAUGGAUGCCUGAUGAAGACCUAAGGGUCGAAACGUUGUAACAAUACAAUCACCUGGGAGCAUGAACAGCAGUGUGCGGCGCUUUUGUUUUUCAUGUAUUUACAUCCUGUCAAGACUUUCCUCAGUUUCUUUCCAGUUGUAUGCAUCCAAGUUAAAAAACCACACACAAAUCCAACUUUACCAUGUCCAACCACAAGCCCUCAA